UGAACGCUAGCGACAGGCCUAACACAUGCAAGUCGAGGGGCAGCACAAGGAGCAAUCUGAGGUGGCGACCGGCGCACGGGUGAGUAACACGUAUGCAACCUGCCUGUAAGCGGGGAAUAACCCGUUGAAAGACGGACUAAUACCGCAUAAUACUAAAUUACUGCAUGGUAAUUUAUUUAAACAUUUAUGGCUUACAGAUGGGCAUGCGCAUGAUUAGCUAGUUGGAGAGGUAACGGCUCCCCAAGGCAACGAUCAUUAGGGGUUCUGAGAGGAAGGUCCCCCACACUGGUACUGAGACACGGACCAGACUCCUACGGGAGGCAGCAGUGAGGAAUAUUGGUCAAUGGACGAGAGUCUGAACCAGCCAAGUCGCGUGCAGGAAGAAUGUCCUUAAUGGAUUGUAAACUGCUUUUGCAGGGGGAAUAAAGUGCAUCACGUGUGAUGUCUUGUAUGUACUCUGCGAAUAAGGAUCGGCUAACUCCGUGCCAGCCGCCGC
This 496-nucleotide ribosomal RNA is filed under the name uncultured bacterium. Its description in RNAcentral is "bacterial SSU rRNA". It matches the Rfam family "Bacterial small subunit ribosomal RNA", at positions 30 to 518 of the family's 1533-position model. The record is from RNAcentral.